This 725-nucleotide ribosomal RNA is filed under the name uncultured eukaryote. RNAcentral describes it as "bacterial SSU rRNA". It matches the Rfam family "Eukaryotic small subunit ribosomal RNA", at positions 677 to 1425 of the family's 1831-position model. The record is from RNAcentral.
GGGUCUUCGGGCUCAUCGUGCGCUUACCCCAGUGGACUUGAGGGACGCAUACAGAUUUCUGUGUGUUUCGCUCCGUUACUUUGAGCAAAUUGGAGUGCUCCAACCAGGCUUACGCUUGAACAGCUCAGCAUGGAAUAACAAGAUAGGACUUUGGUUCUUCUUGUUGGUGUCAUGAACCAAAAGUAAUGGUUGAUAAGGACAUACGGGGGCAUUUGUACUUGCUGGAGAGAGGUGAAAUUCUAAGACCCAGCAAAGACAAACAACUGCGAAAGCAUUUGUCCAGUAUGCACCUGUUAAUCAAGGACGAAAGUUGGGGGAUCGAAGACGAUUAGAUACCGUCGUAGUCCCAACUAUAAACUAUGCCGACUGAGGAUCGGAGGGCGUAACAAUGCGACUCCUUCGGCACUCCAAGAGAAAUCUAAGUCUCUGGGCCCUGGGGGGAGUAUGGUCGCAAGGCUGAAACUUAAAGGAAUUGACGGAAGGGCACCACCAGGAGUGGAGCCUGCGGCUUAAUUUGAGUCAACGCGGGGAACCUCACCAGGCCCGGACAUAGUCAUGAUUGACAGAUUGAGAGUUCUUUCUCGAUUCUAUGGGUGGUGGUGCAUGGCCGUUCUUAGUCGGUGAGGUGACUUGUCUGGUUAAUUCCGAUAACGGACGAGACCUCGACCUGCUAAAUAGCAAGGAUUUACAUUCCGUAAGUUCUUGGCUUCUUAGAGGGACUUUGU